Molecule: ribosomal RNA, 922 nt
Filed under: Mitrocomidae environmental sample
Lineage: Eukaryota; Metazoa; Cnidaria; Hydrozoa; Leptothecata; Mitrocomidae
Description: partial large subunit ribosomal RNA
Rfam family: Eukaryotic large subunit ribosomal RNA
Source: RNAcentral
CGAGUGUAGCGGGAAGAGCUCAAGCUUGAAAUCUCUGUUGCUUGCAACAGCGAAUUGUAGUCUCGAGAAACAUUGUCAAAGCAACUGCGUUGUACUCAAGUUGUUUGGAACGACACGUCGUAGAGGGUGAGAACCCCGUUCGAGGUACAACGCAUUGCCCACGAGGUGUUUUCCAUGAGUCGGGUUGCUUGGGAAUGCAGCCCAAAAUGGGAGGUAAACUCCUUCUAAAGCUAAAUAUGGGCACGAGACCGAUAGCGAACAAGUACCGUGAGGGAAAGAUGAAAAGCACUUUGAAAAGAAAGUUAAGAGUACGUGAAACCGUUAGUAGGGAAGCGCAUGGAAUUAGCAAUGCUUGGCGGAGAUUCAGGUUUGUGUGGGAGUCCUUGCCGGCGGUUACAGAUCCAAUAGGACUGUGCUGUUGGCACUGGUCUUUUGCCUUAUCGCACUUUUCCGUCGGGUGCGUCAACGAGUGUUCGGACUGAACUACACGUCUCGGAGAAAGGUAGCAGGCUUCGGUCUGUGUUAUAGGCUUCGAUGACUAGUUCAGGCUGGACAGAGGAGAUUAGCGGUGCGUGCUUCACGGCUGGCCUCCUUUGCGAUUGUUAGUUGUCGACCAUGGUAGACUGCGUGCAGUGUACUUGAACCGCGGCUGGCCUUCGUAGGGGUAAGGUACAAACGCGCCAAGGUCGUUGGCGGUCAUAUGGUUUCAUACGACCCGUCUUGAAACACGGACCAAGGAGUCUGACAUGUGUGCGAGUCUUAGAGUGAUUGAAACUCUCCGGCUGAAUGAAAGUAAAGGGUCCUUGCGGCCUGAAGUGAGAUCUGUGCACUCGUGUGCAGCGCAUCAUUGACCGACCUAUUCUACUCUUAGAAAGGUUUGAGUAAGAGCAUAUAUGUUGGGACCCGAAAGAUGGUGAACUAU